Molecule: ribosomal RNA, 1536 nt
Filed under: metagenome
Description: bacterial SSU rRNA
Rfam family: Bacterial small subunit ribosomal RNA
Source: RNAcentral
AGAGUUUGAUUCUGGCUCAGAACGAACGCUGGCAGCGUGGAUUAGGCAUGCAAGUCGAACGUGAAGCCCGGGAUUCAAUUCUUCGGAAAAGUUUCCCGGGUGGAAAGUGGCGAAAGGGUGAGUAACGCGUGGGUAACCUACCCUGAAGUUGGGGACAACUCUUCGAAAGAGGAGCUAAUACCGAAUGUGGUCCCCCCCCGCAUGUGGGGGUGACUAAAGGUGGAAUCCUUCGGGAUCUGCCGCUUCUGGAGGGGCCCGCGUGACAUCAGCUUGUUGGUGAGGUAAUGGCUCACCAAGGCUUACGUCUAGCUGGUCUGAGAGGAUGAUCAGCCACACUGGGACUGAGACACUGCCCAGACUCCUACGGGAGGCUGCAGUCGAGAAUCAUUCACAAUGCGCGAAAGCGUGAUGAUGCGACGCUGCGUGGAGGAUGAAGGCCCUAGGGUUGUAAACUCCUGUCAUGAGGGAAAAACCGCACGGAUGUAAAUAGCGUCUGUGUUUGAUGGUACCUCAAGAGGAAGCCACGGCUAACUCUGUGCCAGCAGCCGCGGUGAUACAGAGGUGGCGAGCGUUGUUCGGAUUUACUGGGCGUAAAGCGUACGUAGGUGGUAUCGUGUGUCGGGUGUGAAAGCCCACGGCCCAACCGUGGAAUUGCACUCGAAACUGCGGAACUAGAGUACAGGAGGGGAGAGCGGAAUUCAGGGUGUAGCGGUGAAAUGCGUUGAUAUCCUGAAGAACACCGGUGGCGAAGGCGGCUCUCUGGAAUGUUACUGACACUGAGGUACGAAAGCGUGGGGAGCGAACAGGAUUAGAUACCCUGGUAGUCCACGCCGUAAACGUUGUGCACUUGGUGUGGGCGGUAUUGACCCCGUCCGUGCCGGAGCUAACGCGUUAAGUGCACCGCCUGGGGAGUACGGCCGCAAGGCUAAAACUCAAAGAAAUUGACGGGGGCCCGCACAAGCGGAGGAGCAUGUGGCUCAAUUCGAUGCAACGCGAAGAACCUUACCUGGGUUUGACAUGGUACUGCACACCCCGUGAAAGCGGGGUUCCUUCGAGCGUGUACCACAGGUGCUGCAUGGCUGUCGUCAGUUCGUGCCGUGAGGUGUUGGGUUAAGUCCCGCAACGAACGCAACCCUUGUGUUUAGUUGCCACCGGUGGUGAUGUGCCACCGAGCACUCUAAACAGACUGCCUGUACAAGCAGGAGGAAGGUGGGGAUGACGUCAAGUCAGUAUGGCCCUUAUGCCCAGGGCUGCACACGUGCUACAAUGGCCGGUACAAUGGGAAGCAAUACCGCGAGGUGGAGCAAAUCCUCAACGCCGGCCCCAGUUCGGAUUGGAGUCUGCAACUCGACUCCAUGAAGUCGGAUUCGCUAGUAAUGCCGUAUCAGCUACGACGGCGUGAAUACGUUCCCGGGCCUUGUACACACCGCCCGUCACAUCAUGAAAGCCGUCUGCACCCGAAGUCGCCGAGCUAACCCGCAAGGGGGGCAGGUGCCGAAGGUGUGGGUGUGAUUGGGAUGAAGUCGUAACAAGGUA